RNAcentral lists this ribosomal RNA (605 nucleotides) under Naganishia diffluens. Its description in RNAcentral is "eukaryotic LSU rRNA". It matches the Rfam family "Eukaryotic large subunit ribosomal RNA", at positions 39 to 648 of the family's 3401-position model. The record is from RNAcentral. Lineage: Eukaryota; Fungi; Basidiomycota; Tremellomycetes; Filobasidiales; Filobasidiaceae.
CAUAUCAAUAAGCGGAGGAAAAGAAACUAACAAGGAUUCCCCUAGUAACGGCGAGUGAAGCGGGAAGAGCUCAAAUUUGAAAUCUAGUAGCCUUCGGCUGCUCGAGUUGUAAUCUAGAGAAGUGUUUUCCGUGCCGGCCCAUGUACAAGUCCCUUGGAACAGGGCGUCAUAGAGGGUGAGAAUCCCGUCCUUGACAUGGACCCCCGGUGCUCUGUGAUACACUUUCAACGAGUCGAGUUGUUUGGGAAUGCAGCUCAAAAUGGGUGGUGAAUUCCAUCUAAAGCUAAAUAUUGGCGAGAGACCGAUAGCGAACAAGUACCGUGAGGGAAAGAUGAAAAGCACUUUGGAAAGAGAGUUAAACAGUACGUGAAAUUGUUGAAAGGGAAACGAUUGAAGUCAGUCAUGCUCUUUGGUAUUUAUAUCAUUGAGUGGGGUCAACAUCAGUUUUGAGCGAUGGAUAAAGGCACUAGGAAGGUAGCACUCUCGGGUGAACUUAUAGCCUAGCGUCAUAUACAUUGUUUGGGACUGAGGAACGCAGCAUGCCUUUAUGGCCGGGAUUCGUCCACGUACAUGCUUAGGAUGUUGACAUAAUGGCUUUAAACGAC